GUCGAAUGAAUGCUUGUAUUAUGCUACUCUUUUUUUUUUAAACUCAAUCAUCAAGAUAUUCAUUAAUAGAAAGAGAAUACAACUCCAUGGUCUUACAAAAAUAAUGAACCAUGGAUUAAAAUGAGAAUUGUAUUCUUGAAGCAGAGGAAACAGCACCCUGUAGAACAAAAUUCCCUACCUAAACAGAACAAAGAUAUCCAUAUACAAACAACCUAAACAGACGUAGCAAUAAGAGAAUCCUAAGAGACCUCAGAUGAAGCACAAAAAUAAGAACCUAAAUGAAGGCCCAGAUCUGAAGCAGCAGCAACAGAACCAAAAACCAUGGACAGAAAAGUAGCCACACCACCAAACAACAGCCUUACCGACAUGCAUAAAACAUUUCAGCCUUAUCAACCCCAAGUUUUGCAAGUGAAUCAGCCAUGGAAUUAGCUUCAGGCAACGUAGGUACGAACACAAUGUUGGGAAUUUUUGAACGCUUUUCAAGAAUGAGGUUACUUUCAAAUGGAAGCAUUUUGUCCGAUUCCAACUUGUCGACAUCAUCAAGGUUAGGUCAAUGGCCCUUCUGUUUCUAUCUCAAUUACUUUCAAAGUGUAGUUUCGUUGAACCCCUCAUGACUGUCAGCAGGUAGAACAAAGAUUGACCCUCGUCCUCUGACCGUUUGGUGUCACCACCGUUUUUAUGCAGUUAAACAUUCCAUAAAUACAAGGGCCACACAAAUCUUCAGCCAUGAAAGAUCAGCAAAAAUCAUUAUCCUGUAAUAUUAUACGCCAUGUUAGAUCAUGGGAAAGGGUGGCGAAAAUUAGUUGUCGCAUUUUUAUAUUUGAGAGUUUAGAGCUUUCCUCCUCCUUUCACCAUAUAUUCUCUUAUCAGUUCAAGAAUAAUUGCCUUCCUGGAAAGCGAAUUCUUCCACUUUCCAAGGACCUAGUUUAUUUAACAGCAACUAUAAUUGGAUAUUUAUUAUUCUAUAUACGUGGUAUUAUCAUGUUGCUAUUAAUAUGCCAUUCUUUGUUAUACAACCUCCCGGACAGACAGACGGUUCACUUCCUGUAUCGGCGCAGACAAUCGAGAUUUUAUCAUUGCCAUUGUUGAGGGAUGAAGGAUGAGAUUUUAUUUUUUUGAUGGUUAAGGAGUGAGGAAUCCGUAGGAGCUGGGGAUCAUUAAUUACUGGGUUUAAUCCUAAUAGUAAGAGAUAUAGUAGAAGUUUACAGGGUUUUUGCCAUCGACAUGAAAUUCUGGCUGAACCACGUACGAAGGAAAUUGAGUUUCAUGAUCCGGUUCAACCAUGUUGAAGAAUGGCCUCAUCUUGCUGUUAAGAUGAGUCACAGGUUGGAAAUUGUGGGAAUUUAGAGUUGAAGAUGUAGGAGUAGCUAUGCCGUUUUGGGAAGAUAGCCAAGUCGUUUCAUAUGUAAAGCUUUUGUCAGUAUUUUACUUUUUAGUUACUAAGUUACCUUUUCUAAAUUACCGUUAGGAGUUGUUAUUUCUUUGCUAUACUGUGUCGUUUUACUUGUGUAGCCGUUAGGCUUGUGUGGCUGUCUUGGGAAUCUGAGCACAACUCCUUAUGCAAUAUUCUUUUAGCUGUAUUCUUUCAACUGUUUCUAGAGAACCAGGUGUCCUUAGCUGGUUUAAAAUUUUUUUUCUUAUUUCUCUCUCAUGUAAUCACCUAUAAAUACCGUUCUUUCGGUUUUUAAUGAAAGCAAAAGUGCACCGUUUUGUGCUUAUCAUU
Molecule: small RNA, 1723 nt
Filed under: Theobroma cacao (cacao)
Lineage: Eukaryota; Viridiplantae; Streptophyta; Magnoliopsida; Malvales; Malvaceae
Description: sRNA Tc08v2_g000710
Source: RNAcentral